UACAGAGGUGGCAAGCGUUGUUCGGAAUUACUGGGCGUAAAGGGCGCGUAGGCGGGAUGGCAAGUCGGUCGUGAAAGCCUUCGGCUCAACCGAAGAACGUCGGCCGAUACUGCCGUUCUUGAGGGAUGCAGAGGAGACUGGAAUUCCCGGUGUAGCGGUGAAAUGUGUAGAGAUCGGGAGGAACACCGGUGGCGAAGGCGGGUCUCUGGGCAUCUCCUGACGCUGAGGCGCGAAAGCGUGGGGAGCAAACGGG
RNAcentral lists this ribosomal RNA (253 nucleotides) under uncultured bacterium. RNAcentral's name for it is "partial 16S ribosomal RNA". It matches the Rfam family "Bacterial small subunit ribosomal RNA", at positions 524 to 776 of the family's 1533-position model. The record is from RNAcentral.